GGAAAAGAAAACAUGAGUUAGUUUGUGGUGAAAUAUACUCCCCCCCCCCCUUAAAUUGGUGUCAACUGCGUGUGACUUCGUGAACUUGUUCAGAAAUUUUCCAGGAAGAAAAACUGUUGAAGCAAUUACAUGGUUUGCCAGUACAUACAAAAAUAUCAAAAUUAAUCAACUCCUGAUUCCAGGCACAGGUGGAGGAAGAAUCUGCAGCUGAGGACCCAGCAGGCUGGUGGAAAAGACUGCGGCAUUUGGAACAGACAGACAGACCAGACGUUGGCAAGGGCAGCUUGACAAAGGUGCUGGAAUUCCAGGAAGCUCAGGGAAGAGUUAUUUUUCCUUCUUUCCGUUCUUGCUAGGCUAAAAGCAAGCUUGAGAAGUGAAAGUACUGCAGCUGUCUAACAGAAUCAGCAUAUCAAAGUUGUGAUAAAGAACACCUGUGUGAAUCAGGAAGGAGGGAGAUAGUUAAGAAACUGUAAAAAGAAAUGCCUCAUAGUUUGUUAAGUUAAGGGCAUUGUAUAUAUUAGAAAUAAACAUAUAAUUAAAAGCACUGUAACAAAUAAACAUCUGUAUAAUUUAGAGGAGGAUAGAGUGUAUGUGUCCAGAACGUUACUCUCUGUUUUUCUACCCUCCAACAAAACAAACACAUUUUUUCUUUACCUUAGUUGCAGUAUCAAUUGUCCAAGAGGGAACUGGUAAACCAGUGAUAAUAUUGGAAAAAAGAAUAACAGUUACGAUCCAAACACUGUUGCAAUAAAUCGAACUGUUAUUUGUCAAGGCAGCUGUCUAUGUCACAAAUAUAAUGUGGCACACUGAUUUACUUAAGAAAAACUUUAAAAAUGGUAGUAGAGCAAAAAUCCAAAAUCCUAUUGUCAAAAGAUCAGAAUGAUACAAGUGAGGAGGAAAUACAGUAACUCACUGCCCUUCCUGUUUCUUUUUUUCAAGUUUUUUUUCCAGUUAAGAGCAAUUGAAUGGGAUUCUUUAAACCAGCUUCAACCCUGGGAGCAGGACUGAAGGUUGAGACAGCUUUAAAUCUAUAGAGUCAGAGUCCUUCCAGGGUCCAAGUAUGUCACCUCCCUGUUCCAUUCUAGAGUUCUAAUAUCAGAAGGAAUAGCCACAUAACUUUCUUCAGGGAGGAGGAAGGGGAGAAGAUCUACUGUCUCCAACUUGAGUGAAAUCUGUGAUUUAUCCUAUGCCUCCUAACAUGCCCUGCUAAGACUGUAGUAAUAGGCAGAAGAAACAGCACACUAACAACAUAAUCCACCAUGGGAUGGUCUGUUUUUGAAAAACCCUCCUCAGAGCUGAAUUAUAGGCAUGGUCCAACCAAAGAUAAAGUCAAUUAUAUCCCUUGAAGAACAAGUUUAACUUCUCCAUUAAAGCCAGUGGAUUUUAAAAGUGUUUAACUUUGGCUGCAUUAUGCAUUGUAUGUUUUUCAUCUAAAGUCAAACACUGAGGAGGCAACCCUUUUUUCCCUCACCUUUUCUACAGUGUGUACCCUCAUCCACACUGAAACAAGUGCACAUAUGAGAAUGAUUUUAUGCAUGUGAACUUAAAAGUGAACAUUCUGUAGAGAACAACACAAUUCUAACAUUUGGAACUGUUUUAAGGCAAUACUCUAGAUUUCUCAGUAGGUUUGAUCCUGGAUAAAGUACAUAAUGAUUGUGAUUUUUUUUUCUCUCACUAACUUCCCUGACCUUAAUAUGUUGGUUUUAACUUCAGGCUGUUUGAUGAAAGGAUUCUAUUUAAUAAUUCAUCUCCUAUUUUUAUCCAUUAUGAUUCUUUUCCUGCUGCCCUCGGAAAUGUUACAAUUUUCAUAUUACAACUGUCUGGCUGAUCUGGCUCUUUCCUCCUGUCUUUCCUCCCCACCCUUUUCUGCCACACAUUUCAUUCAAUAGUGCUGAACUUCUUACCAUACAAAUGGCAUCCAGAAACUUGCCAUAUAUGGUCAGCUUAAUGACUUCAGCAGUUAAUUUCACGUCUGGAAUCUGAACCACGGUGUAAAUGCUAAAGAGUCAAGUAGAGUUUUCAAACACACUGUCCAACUUUCUUUUUCUAUUUUUAAUGUAUGCUCUCCACUUAAUGGCUUUUGUUUGCUCAGACUCUACAGAGAACCUAUAUAUAGCUCCUGACAAAGCAUAAAGGAGCAUUGUAUUAAUAUAAUGCAAAAGAGAGAUUCCUCAUUAUUUAAGCAAUUCUAAUUAGCAAGAAAAUGCUAAUUUGAGCCUUGAGCCUUAACUACAUCUAGCUAAGGACUUUACUUCUGCUGCUGCACUUUAUCUGCAAAAUUUAGAAUUCAUUAGUCUGGCAGCCACUGAUCUUCUGAGGAAAUCAUACCGAUUUUGAACCUUCCUGUUUCCUUUUCAUUAUUCCUAAUGU
Molecule: long non-coding RNA, 2370 nt
Organism: Candoia aspera
Lineage: Eukaryota; Metazoa; Chordata; Lepidosauria; Squamata; Candoiidae
Exons: 3
Source: RefSeq, a predicted model, not a curated record